GGCUAUGUACUUGUUGUCAAUCAACUGUUGUACUUUGGCUUUGAAAGCAUUACAGUCUUCAGUUGAAUGCCCUUCUGAUCCGGCAUGAUAUCCACAUUGCACAUUUGGCUCAUACCCAGGUGGGUAAGGUUGUGGAACCGACUUGAGAGACUUGGGAAACACCAAUGAUUUUUGAAUCAGAGGCUGCAGAACUUGACUAUAUGUCAUGGGGAUUGGAUGACGAGGAGAAUU
RNAcentral lists this long non-coding RNA (231 nucleotides) under Lathyrus oleraceus (garden pea). RNAcentral's name for it is "Pisum sativum (pea) long non-coding RNA (PSAT_LNC035427)". Lineage: Eukaryota; Viridiplantae; Streptophyta; Magnoliopsida; Fabales; Fabaceae. The record is from RNAcentral.